Molecule: long non-coding RNA, 982 nt
Organism: Passer domesticus (house sparrow)
Lineage: Eukaryota; Metazoa; Chordata; Aves; Passeriformes; Passeridae
Exons: 4
Source: RefSeq, a predicted model, not a curated record
CUACAGUUCUAUGGUUCUACGGUUCUGUGGUUCUGUGAUCAUUAUGACUCUGGGAGUAACUGAGUUACUGUAAACCUUCUACCUACGUGACACUGCUGCAGAGCUGAAAACCUGACAAAUACAGGUGCACCCACCCAGUUCCAGCUACCUCUGGUCUUGUCCUGGAAAGAGACAAGGAAAAUCAGCUUUCUGAUGUCAGACACAAGUGAUGUUGGAGGAGGAAAAUUUUCAGGCCAGGAGGAUGGCAUGGUUUCACCAGAGGACCAGAAAGAAAUAAAAGCAUGGAGCAGUCCCCUCUGAUCAUGUGUCUGCAUCGUGUUUCAGCUGCCUGCAAACAGUUCAACUGGUGGGUUCAACUUCCAGCGCUCGUGAGCAGAUGGUGCUUAGGUGGAGGAACAUUCCUGUUGUAACAGCCUAUAGGCUUUUCAACAGCUUUCAUGCUGUGUGAUGCAGCGUGGCACGGAGCGGCGCGGGGAGAACGACUACCAAGCUAAAGGCAAGAGCAUAUGUAAAGAAGAAGAAACAGUACAAGAAGAAGCAGAGGUUCAAAUAGUCCUUGGUAUCCCAUGAUUUUUAAAAGUCCUGAAGUCUGAGUCACUACUACACCAUGGCUUACCAGAGGAGCAAAACUGGAAUGUCCAAGAGAUGUCUGCUUUAUGUGACACACUCUUAAAGUAUCUAGCAUCAUAGAACUUCAGCUAGAGACUGAAAAAAGCUGAUGUUUAAAUAGAGUUUAAAGGUUUUGUCUGGUCUCAAGAAUGAACUCCAGAAGUAACCACCAAGGUCUACAUCUUCUGAUGGCAGGUUGUGAGCACCAGACACAACCAGCUCCUGGCUAAGGUGGAGCAGAGUAAUGUCCUCAUGGCCUCAGAGGGCAACUGAAUGGUGGCACAAAUUCUGUACUGGAGGAAUGUGUCUUUACAAUGUAGAAAAUAGAGCUGCUCCAACAAGAGGUGGUUAUUAAUUAUAGCACUUUAAAAGA